GAGCGGUAGAGAGAAGCUUGCUUCUCUUGAGAGCGGCGGACGGGUGAGUAAUGCCUAGGAAUCUGCCUGGUAGUGGGGGAUAACGUUCGGAAACGGACGCUAAUACCGCAUACGUCCUACGGGAGAAAGCAGGGGACCUUCGGGCCUUGCGCUAUCAGAUGAGCCUAGGUCGGACUAGCUAGUUGGUGGGGUAAUGGCUCACCAAGGCGACGAUCCGUAACUGGUCUGAGAGGAUGAUCAGUCACACUGGAACUGAGACACGGUCCAGACUCCUACGGGAGGCAGCAGUGGGGAAUAUUGGACAAUGGGCGAAAGCCUGAUCCAGCCAUGCCGCGUGUGUGAAGAAGGUCUUCGGAUUGUAAAGCACUUUAAGUUGGGAGGAAGGGUUGUAGAUUAAUACUCUGCAAUUUUGACGUUACCGACAGAAUAAGCACCGGCUAACUCUGUG
RNAcentral lists this ribosomal RNA (448 nucleotides) under uncultured bacterium. RNAcentral's name for it is "bacterial SSU rRNA". It matches the Rfam family "Bacterial small subunit ribosomal RNA", at positions 64 to 507 of the family's 1533-position model. The record is from RNAcentral.